This is a small nuclear RNA of Ailuropoda melanoleuca (giant panda), 101 nucleotides long. NCBI's taxonomy places the organism in Eukaryota, Metazoa, Chordata, Mammalia, Carnivora, Ursidae. The record is from Ensembl.
UGCUUUGGCCGCAGUGUACUAAACUCAGAACGAUACAGAGAAGAUUAGCAUGGCCGCAGCUCAAGGAUGACACAGAAAUUCGUAAAGCCAAAACCAAGUCC